RNAcentral lists this unclassified non-coding RNA (291 nucleotides) under Hevea brasiliensis (rubber tree). The record is from RNAcentral. Lineage: Eukaryota; Viridiplantae; Streptophyta; Magnoliopsida; Malpighiales; Euphorbiaceae.
UUGUCGUUGAGGAUCACGGGUCAUAGAGAUACACUCUUCCAAGAAAUCUUCUCUAAUGAGGCCUUCUGAUGUGUAUGCAAACUUGUGCCCAGUUUCAUGGGCACAAACACAAACUGUAUUUGAGGAUAGACAAUCACCAAUACAAGUAGCACAGCAAUCUUCUGCCUUAAUUUGAGAAAGAGUGAAUCUCAAAUUAGCAUUUUGAAAAAUCAGGUUUUGAGGUAUGUAGAUAAAAGAUGGAGGACACUCAUUGUUGAUUUCAUUUAACCAUGAAAUCUCAACUAUUUCUUC